GAUGAACGCUGGCGGCGUGCCUAAUACAUGCAAGUCGAGCGAACGGACGAGAAGCUUGCUUCUCUGAUGUUAGCGUCGGACGGGUGAGUAACACGUGGAUAACCUACCUAUAAGACUGGGAUAACUUCUGGAAACCGUAGCUAAUACCGGAUAAUCUUUUGAACCGCAUGGUUCAGAAGUGAAAGACGGUCUUGCUGUCACUUAUAGAUGGAUCCGCGCUGCAUUAUCUAGUUGGUAAGGUAACGGCUUACCAAGGCAACGAUGCAUAGCCGACCUGAGAGGGUGAUCGGCGACACUGGAACUGAGACACGGUCAAGACUCCGACGGGAGGCAGCAGUAGGGAAUCUUCCGCAAUGGGCGAAAGCCUGACGGAGCAACGCCGCGUGAGUGAUGAAGGUCUUCGGAUCGUAAAACUCUGUUAUUAGGGAAGAACAUAUGUGUAAGUAACUGUGCACAUCGUGACGGUACCUAAUCAGAAAGCCACGGCUAACUACGUG
This 497-nucleotide ribosomal RNA is filed under the name uncultured bacterium. Its description in RNAcentral is "partial 16S ribosomal RNA". It matches the Rfam family "Bacterial small subunit ribosomal RNA", at positions 28 to 507 of the family's 1533-position model. The record is from RNAcentral.